UACAGAGGGGGCAAGCGUUGUUCGGAAUUACUGGGCGUAAAGGGCGCGUAGGCGGCCAUUCAAGUCGGAGGUGAAAGCCCAGGGCUCAACCCUGGAAUUGCCUUCGAUACUGUCUGGCUAGAGACCGGAAGAGGUAAGUGGAACUGCGAGUGUAGAGGUGAAAUUCGUAGAUAUUCGCAAGAACACCAGUGGCGAAGGCGGCUUACUGGUCCGGUUCUGACGCUGAGGCGCGAAAGCGUGGGGAGCAAACAGG
RNAcentral lists this ribosomal RNA (253 nucleotides) under uncultured bacterium. RNAcentral's name for it is "partial 16S ribosomal RNA". It matches the Rfam family "Bacterial small subunit ribosomal RNA", at positions 524 to 776 of the family's 1533-position model. The record is from RNAcentral.